AUGCAGUCGAACGAUGAACCUGGAGCUUGCUCUAGGGAAUUAGUGGCGAACGGGUGAGUAACACGUGAGUAACCUGCCCUUGACUCUGGGAUAACCUCCGGAAACGGAAGCUAAUACCGGAUACGACGUACGGAGGCAUCUCCUGUACGUGGAAAGAACUUCGGUCAAGGAUGGACUCGCGGCCUAUCAGGUAGUUGGUGAGGUAACGGCUCACCAAGCCUACGACGGGUAGCCGGCCUGAGAGGGUGACCGGCCACACUGGGACUGAGACACGGCCCAGACUCCUACGGGAGGCAGCAGUGGGGAAUAUUGCACAAUGGGCGCAAGCCUGAUGCAGCAACGCCGCGUGAGGGAUGACGGCCUUCGGGUUGUAAACCUCUUUUAGUAGGGAAGAAGCGAAAGUGACGGUACCUGCAGAAAAAGCACCGGCUAACUACGUGCCAGCAGCCGCGGUAAUACGUAGGGUGCGAGCGUUGUCCGGAAUUAUUGGGCGUAAAGAGCUCGUAGGCGGUCUGUCGCGUCUGCUGUGAAAACCCGAGGCUCAACCUCGGGCCUGCAGUGGGUACGGGCAGACUAGAGUGCGGUAGGGGAGAAUGGAAUUCCUGGUGUAGCGGUGGAAUGCGCAGAUAUCAGGAGGAACACCGAUGGCGAAGGCAGUUCUCUGGGCCGUAACUGACGCUGAGGAGCGAAAGCGUGGGGAGCGAACAGGAUUAGAUACCCUGGUAGUCCACGCCGUAAACGUUGGGCGCUAGAUGUGGGGACCAUCCCCACGUUCCGUGUCGCAGCUAACGCAUUAAGCGCCCCGC
This 806-nucleotide ribosomal RNA is filed under the name Leifsonia sp. RODXS16. RNAcentral's name for it is "bacterial SSU rRNA". It matches the Rfam family "Bacterial small subunit ribosomal RNA", at positions 55 to 872 of the family's 1533-position model. The record is from RNAcentral. Lineage: Bacteria; Bacillati; Actinomycetota; Actinomycetes; Micrococcales; Microbacteriaceae.